Molecule: ribosomal RNA, 253 nt
Filed under: uncultured bacterium
Lineage: Bacteria
Description: partial 16S ribosomal RNA
Rfam family: Bacterial small subunit ribosomal RNA
Source: RNAcentral
UACGAAGGGGGCUAGCGUUGCUCGGAAUCACUGGGCGUAAAGCGCACGUAGGCGGCUUUUUAAGUCGGGGGUGAAAGCCUGUGGCUCAACCACAGAAUUGCCUUCGAUACUGUAGAGCUUGAGACCGGAAGAGGUAAGUGGAACUGCGAGUGUAGAGGUGAAAUUCGUAGAUAUUCGCAAGAACACCAGUGGCGAAGGCGGCUUACUGGUCCGGUUCUGACGCUGAGGCGCGAAAGCGUGGGGAGCAAACAGG